UGCAGAGGGUGCGAGCGUUAAUCGGAAUUACUGGGCGUAAAGCGUGCGUAGACGGUUAUUUAAGUCGGGUGUGAAAGCCCCGGGCUCAACCUGGGAAUUGCAUUCGAGACUGAAUAGCUAGGGUACGGUAGAGGGAAGCGGAAUUUCCGGUGUAGCGGUGAAAUGCGUAGAUAUCAGGAGGAACACCAGUGGCGAAGGCGGCUUCCUGGACACCAACUGACGCUGAGACGCGAAAGCGUGGGGAGCAAACAGG
RNAcentral lists this ribosomal RNA (253 nucleotides) under uncultured bacterium. Its description in RNAcentral is "partial 16S ribosomal RNA". It matches the Rfam family "Bacterial small subunit ribosomal RNA", at positions 524 to 776 of the family's 1533-position model. The record is from RNAcentral.